UGACGGAUCCUGGCUCCCUCCG
This 22-nucleotide microRNA is filed under the name Gallus gallus (chicken). Its description in RNAcentral is "gga-miR-6599-3p". The record is from miRBase by way of RNAcentral. Lineage: Eukaryota; Metazoa; Chordata; Aves; Galliformes; Phasianidae.